RNAcentral lists this ribosomal RNA (648 nucleotides) under Striuntius lateristriga (spinner barb). RNAcentral describes it as "partial 16S ribosomal RNA". The stretch from base 243 to 648 matches the Rfam family "Bacterial large subunit ribosomal RNA", at positions 568 to 1135 of the family's 2925-position model. The record is from RNAcentral. Lineage: Eukaryota; Metazoa; Chordata; Actinopteri; Cypriniformes; Cyprinidae.
CUAGUUAAGCAUCUCACUUACACCGAGAAGACACUCAUGCAAAUUGAGUCGCCCUGAGCCAAACAGCUAGCUUAAUUACCUCAUAACUUAAAAAUAUAAAUAAAACAAAAUAAACUAAACACCAAAAACUAAACCAUUCUUUUACCUGAGUAUGGGCGACAGAAAAGGUCCAACAAAGCAAUAGAGAUAGUACCGCAAGGGAAAGCUGAAAGAGAAAUGAAAUAACCCAUACAAGCACAAAAAAGCAAAGACUAAACCUUGUACCUUUUGCAUCAUGAUUUAGCCAGCACAUUCAAGCAAAGAGACCUUUAGUUUGAAACCCCGAAACCAGAUGAGCUACCCCGAGACAGCCUACUAAGGGCUAACCCGUCUCUGUGGCAAAAGAGUGGGAAGAACUCCGGGUAGAAGUGACAGACCUACCGAACCUGGUGAUAGCUGGUUGCCUAAGAAAUGAAUAGAAGUUCAGCCUCAUUUACCUCUAGCCAAACUAACAUAUAAACAAGAAUUAUAGAGAAACAUAUGAGAGUUAGUUAAAGGGGGUACAGCCCCUUUAACAAAGGAUACAACCUUCUCAGGAGGAUAAAGAUCAUAAUAUCCAAAACACACCGUUCUAGUGGGCCUAAAAGCAGCCACCUAAACAGAAAGCGU